RNAcentral lists this ribosomal RNA (375 nucleotides) under uncultured bacterium. Its description in RNAcentral is "bacterial SSU rRNA". It matches the Rfam family "Bacterial small subunit ribosomal RNA", at positions 521 to 896 of the family's 1533-position model. The record is from RNAcentral.
UAAGACGAAGGGGGCUAGCGUUGUUCGGAAUUACUGGGCGUAAAGGGCGCGUAGGCGGUCUUGUUAGUCAGGCGUGAAAGCCCUGGGCUCAACCUGGGAGGUGCGCUUGAUACUGCGAGGCUUGAGUGCAGGAGAGGAUGGUGGAAUUCCCAGUGUAGAGGUGAAAUUCGUAGAUAUUGGGAAGAACACCGGUGGCGAAGGCGGCCAUCUGGACUGCAACUGACGCUGAGGCGCGAAAGCGUGGGGAGCAAACAGGAUUAGAUACCCUGGUAGUCCACGCUGUAAACGAUGAGUGCUGGACGUUGGCGGGCUUGCCUGCCGGUGUCGCAGCUAACGCGAUAAGCACUCCGCCUGGGGAGUACGGCCGCAAGGUUA